GACGGAGGAUGCAAGCGUUAUCCGGAAUGAUUGGGCGUAAAGCGUCCGCAGGUGGCCGUUCAAGUCUGCUGUCAAAGACCGGGGCUUAACUUCGGAAAGGCAGUGGAAACUGAACAGCUAGAGUAUGGUAGGGGCAGAGGGAAUUCCUGGUGUAGCGGUGAAAUGCGUAGAUAUCGGGAGGAACACCAGUGGCGAAGGCGACUACCUGGCCUGUUCUUGACGCUGAGGCGCGAAAGCUAGGGGAGCAAACGGG
This 253-nucleotide ribosomal RNA is filed under the name uncultured bacterium. Its description in RNAcentral is "partial 16S ribosomal RNA". It matches the Rfam family "Bacterial small subunit ribosomal RNA", at positions 524 to 776 of the family's 1533-position model. The record is from RNAcentral.